GACGAACGCUGGCGGCGUGCUUAACACAUGCAAGUCGAACGGAAAGGCCCCUUUGGGGGUACUCGAGUGGCGAACGGGUGAGUAACACGUGAGUAACCUGCCCUUGACUUCGGGAUAACUUCAGGAAACUGGGGCUAAUACCGGAUAGGAAUCCUUGCUGCAUGGUGGGGGUUGGAAAGCUGCGGAGGUUUUGGAUUGACUCACGGCUUAUCAGCUUGUUGGUGGGGUAGUGGCUUACCAAGGCUUUGACGGGUAGCCGGCCUGAGAGGGCGACCGGCCACAUUGGGACUGAGACACGGCCAAGACUCCUACGGGAGGCAGCAGUGGGGAAUAUUGAACAAUGGGCGGAAGCCUGAUGCAGCAACGCCGCGUGCGGGAUGACGGCCUUCGGGUUGUAAACCGCUUUCAGCAGGGGCGAAGCUUGUGGUGACGGUACCUGCAGAAGAAGCACCGGCUAACUACGUG
Molecule: ribosomal RNA, 465 nt
Filed under: uncultured bacterium
Lineage: Bacteria
Description: partial 16S ribosomal RNA
Rfam family: Bacterial small subunit ribosomal RNA
Source: RNAcentral